This 112-nucleotide ribosomal RNA is filed under the name uncultured bacterium. RNAcentral's name for it is "partial 16S ribosomal RNA". It matches the Rfam family "Bacterial small subunit ribosomal RNA", at positions 1373 to 1482 of the family's 1533-position model. The record is from RNAcentral.
CCCGGGCCUUGUACACACCGCCCGUCACACCACGAAAGUUGGCAAUACCCGAAGCCGGUGGCCUAACCCGCAAGGGAGGGAGCCGUCGAAGGUAGGGUCGAUGAUUGAGGUG